UUCUUCCAUCAGCCUUCUGAGCCUAGCUUC
This 30-nucleotide non-coding RNA is filed under the name Mus musculus (house mouse). Lineage: Eukaryota; Metazoa; Chordata; Mammalia; Rodentia; Muridae. The record is from RNAcentral.